UCGACAUGACGCAAAUGGCUUCCACUUCAAAGUCCACCAUACCGUCUGCAUUCGAAUCAGAUAUUUCGGAUUCUGAUUCAGAAGACUCGAUUUCAGACGAGUGUUGAUUACAAAAUUUGUAUUUGCUUAUUCAAAUUUCGAAUGUUUAACGAUUCUGUAAUUUAGUUUCUUUUUAAUAAAAAACAUCGAUUUCAAAUUCAAUUUAAAAAUCGUUUUCUGAAAUAUCGAUUUCUAUUUCAAAAAGCAACGAUUCGAACGCAAAAUAUGGAAUCCUGUUUUAAAAAAAAAAUUAAACAAACAUUGUAUGGCGGAUUUCCGCCAUCUAUACUCUUCUACUAAGGUUUAGAUGGCGGAAAUCCGCCAUACAAACAUUGUCGACAGACGUCUGAGCAUGGAUGUCACAUUCACGGAAGAAGACAUGAAGGAUGUCACCACCCCCUAGUGAUAACUCCCAUUUUCCGGAAGGGCGACCACACCAGCGUGCGCUUACACAGUGCUGGUCGACACGAGAGCAUCGGUCAACGUAUUAUACUAGAACGCGUUCGUCGACCUCUCCCGUGCAGACCUACUCCCAAAAAGAGCCUCCAUCAGAGGUUUCGGCCAGUCAAAGGUCCUCGUGGCAAGGACAAUAGUAAUACUAGUCACCCUGGGUCGGCACGUCCAUGCGAAGAUAAUCGAAGUCAACUUCACGGUCGUGAAUUUUACAUCGAGUUACAACACUAUCUUGGGAAGGGCGGCACUACACGCGUUCCAGACGGUGAUGUCGUCCCUCCACCAAUGCCUGAAAUUCCCAACAGAAGGAGGAGUAUGCACAAUAGAGGGAUCCCAGAAGAGAGUGUGGGAAUGCUACUUCAAUUUGGUAGGGGAAGUGUCUUGGAUCGUGAUUCGAGACUAUAAGGGGGGAUAAUAGCCUCUUUUCGAUUUGUGCAGAUUAAUAGCGGAAUUAACUGCACACACUUAAGUACACAAAUGGUUGUAUAAUAAUAAUAGUAUAAUAUUGUUGGCAAUAUAAUACUAUUAUAUGAUUUUAAGUAAUAUAAUAUUAUAUCUUAUAAUAUUAUAUAUUGGGCUUGUCUUUUUCUCUUAAAGUUUACUUCAGUAUAUGAAUACAGAGUCAACUUUUAGAUAGUGUUUUAUAAACAACUGUAGUAUAUGAAUACUAAGUUAUAUUAUAAACACAAGUUAUAUUAUAGAGUAAAUGACCAGAUAACUGGAUAUAUAUUUGAUAAGCAAAAUAUGACCAGAUAACUGGAUAUAUAUAUAAUAAGUAAAUGCUUGAACAAAUAUAUGAAUAAAGAUUUAAAGCAAUAAAUUUAACCUCAGAUAGUUGACCAGAUAACUGGAUGAGGAAUCUGCGUAAAGUAGUCAACCUCUGUAUUUGACCAGAUAACCGGAAGAGGGAUCUUUUUCAAUUAAGUGUUGUUUAGUUGUUUUUAGAUGAAAGAUAAAAACUAAAGUUAACAAAGAACAACACAAGAGAAUUUAUACUUGUUCACUCAGACAAGGCUAAUCUAGUCCCGACCAACUAUCGGAAUUCACUAGCCUAAAGGUUAUGACAAAACCUUAGAGUAUCAAGGAAACUCUUAAGAACCUCUCUAAGUUUUAAGGCUACUUCGUUUAGGAACCAGUCUUUUAC
Molecule: long non-coding RNA, 1636 nt
Filed under: Zostera marina
Lineage: Eukaryota; Viridiplantae; Streptophyta; Magnoliopsida; Alismatales; Zosteraceae
Description: long non-coding RNA (ZMAR_LNC003661)
Source: RNAcentral